Molecule: ribosomal RNA, 497 nt
Filed under: uncultured bacterium
Lineage: Bacteria
Description: partial 16S ribosomal RNA
Rfam family: Bacterial small subunit ribosomal RNA
Source: RNAcentral
GAUGAACGCUGGCGGCGUGCCUAAUACAUGCCAGUCGAGCGAACAGAUGAGGAGCUUGCUCCUCUGACGUUAGCGGCGGACGGGUGAGUAACACGUGGAUAACCUACCUAUAAGACUGGGAUAACUUCGGGAAACCGGAGCUAAUACCGGAUAAUAUAUUGAACCGCAUGGUUCAAUAGUGAAAGACGGUUUUGCUGUCACUUAUAGAUGGAUCCGCGCCGCAUUAGCUAGUUGGUAAGGUAACGGCUUACCAAGGCAACGAUGCGUAGCCGACCUGAGAGGGUGAUCGGCCACACUGGAACUGAGACACGGUCCAGACUCCUACGGGAGGCAGCAGUAGGGAAUCUUCCGCAAUGGGCGAAAGCCUGACGGAGCAACGCCGCGUGAGUGAUGAAGGUCUUCGGAUCGUAAAACUCUGUUAUUAGGGAAGAACAAAUGUGUAAGUAACUAUGCACGCCUUGACGGUACCUAAUCAGAAAGCCACGGCUAACUACGUG